RNAcentral lists this ribosomal RNA (351 nucleotides) under Amylomyces rouxii. RNAcentral's name for it is "SSU rRNA". It matches the Rfam family "Eukaryotic small subunit ribosomal RNA", at positions 22 to 370 of the family's 1831-position model. Lineage: Eukaryota; Fungi; Mucoromycota; Mucoromycetes; Mucorales; Mucoraceae. RNAcentral also lists the same sequence under 1 other name. The record is from RNAcentral.
AGUCAUAUGCUUGUCUCAAAGAUUAAGCCAUGCAUGUCUAAGUAUAAAUAACUUUAUAUUGUGAAACUGCGAAUGGCUCAUUAAAUCAGUUAUGAUCUACGUGACAAAUUCUUUACUACUUGGAUAACCGUGGUAAUUCUAGAGCUAAUACAUGCAAAAAAGCCCUGACUUACGAAGGGGUGCACUUAUUAGAUAAAACCAACGCGGGGUAAAACCUGUUUCUUGGUGAAUCAUAAUAAUUAAGCGGAUCGCAUGGCCUUGUGCCGGCGACGGUCCACUCGAUUUUCUGCCCUAUCAUGGUUGAGAUUGUAAGAUAGAGGCUUACAAUGCCUACAACGGGUAACGGGGAAU